Molecule: RNA transcript, 2861 nt
Organism: Eriocheir sinensis (Chinese mitten crab)
Lineage: Eukaryota; Metazoa; Arthropoda; Malacostraca; Decapoda; Varunidae
Gene: Tdrd3
Gene name: tudor domain-containing protein 3-like
Exons: 13
Source: RefSeq, a predicted model, not a curated record
CACAAAAACUCUUCAACAUCGUAUUUAAAGCUCACAAAAUGUAAAAAAUUAAGACCCGCGGCCCUGCCUCAACGCAAGAUGGCCCAAUAAGGCGUUUGUUUACUGCGUGGGAGGAGCAAGCCGCCCGCCCCGUGCCCGCUGUAUUUUCCCCUCGAGCAGCGCCCCCAGCAGGAAUAAACCAUGGUGUCUGCCAAGGAAUUACUCUCAAGGCUGAAGGCUGACGGCUGGAAUUUAGAUGAAGAAGGUGUCGAGAGCUUGCUGGAGGACAGAAAUCUUAACAUUCAGCAGGCCAAUCAAGAAGUACUUAACAGUGAUCUGAAGGAUGUUGGUGCCACUUGUCUUCAUGAUGACUUGCUGAAAGGAAAGAAAAAUUCUUUGCCAGGCCCCUUGGUGCUGCAAGUCUCCAAGAUGAGAAAUGUGUCAGCACCCAAGGCAUUUGAGGAAUCUGGUGGUGCCCCAAGGAUGCUGAGAGUGACCCUCACAGAUGGCUUCGGCACAGUGCAGGGCCUUGAGGUGCAGAACAUCAAGACCCUCAGCUUGAAAACAGCGCCAGGGACCAAAGUUCGGUUGAGUGGCAAAAUUCCCAUUAGUGGCGGCUUCCUGUUACUGACCCCCAACAACAUUACGGUGAUUGGCGGCACCGUCCAGGAACUCUACGACAAGUGGAAACUUUCUGCCAGUGUCUCCAAGUACAGUCGUGGGGUUUGUGCUGCUGAUGGGUCCGGGCCGCCUUCGUGGGUCCCCUUUGGGAAGCGCAUUGUUAAAAAUCAGACAGAGAUGCAGAAAUUCAAGGCUUUAAAAGAUCCUGAAGGAAAGGAAAAAGUGGAUGGAGAAUUUGAAAACCAGCGGAAACAGGUGGUAAAGGAGUUGUCCAAGGAAGGAAAUUUGAAGGUUUUUGGAGGAGGAAAGCAAAUGCUGGAUGCUAAUGUACAAAAAGUUGUCAAUGCAGGAUUUUCUCUUGAUGUUGCUGAAUGGGCCCUCCGGAACAGCAAGAAUGACCCCGUCAAGGCCAUCAAGGAGCUGCGUGCGGCUGCCAGUGGCCAGCCUCCUCCUGAACGUAACAAUUACUGGGAAGAUGACGAAGAGAGAAACACGGGUGGUCGUCGUGGGCGGGGUGGUCGGGGCCGAGGCAGGGGAAGAGGAAGAGGUGGUGGUGGACCGGAUGACAGCGAUGAUGACUUUGAGCCUCCUCCCAACAUGCCUCGCCCCUCAGGCCCAGCUUCACUCUUUGAUUUCUUUGACACUAAGAUGAUAGAAAAGAAAGGCAACGUAAAUUUUGUGGAGCCAGUGGCUGAUGUGAGAGGUCCUGCCUAUAACCCACCGGGAAGGGGAAGUGACCGCAGAGGCAGAGGAGGGGGUUACCAGAGAGGCCGAGGGGGCCGAGGCGGCUAUUCCAACAGGGGAGCCAUCAACGGCAGUGUAACACCGCCCAGCAUGACAGCAGAGAACUGGCCAGCACCAGGAGAGGAGAGAGCACCUCCUCCAAGCAACCGAAGUUACCUGGAGAGCAAGGAACUGAUGGAAGAGAAGGAGAGGGAGGAUAAUUCGCUGAGGAAGCCACCUGUGCGAAUGGGGCAAGGCGGAUCAAGGGACUAUCACCUUAACAACACUCAGGAUAGGGGACAAGGCUAUGGGAGAGUGGAUGGAAGGCAAAGAGGUGGAUAUUAUGCAAGGGACUCAGAUUACAGAGAAGGUGGUGGAGCUAGGCAGGAGGACAGUGGGAGAGGGAGAGAUAAUUAUUUCCAUGACAGAGGUGGGCACAGAGGACGUGGUGGAGGAAACUACAGAGGAGGCAGCAGAGGUAAUAAUUAUGGAGGUGGUGGAGGCUAUGCCGGAGGAGAUAGUGGGGGCAGCGGAUAUUACAGUGAAGAGUACAGAGGUGGAAGAGGAAAUAGUGCCAAUGCUUCGAGAGGUGGUGGAAACUACGGUGUUGGUUACAAAGAUGGUAAUUACAAUAGGUCAAUGGAGAACAGAGGUGGUGGCAACUACAGGAGUGACGGAAAUAGCUACAGUGACUCCCGGGGUGGAAACAAAACAAGUGGUGGUGGGGGAGGUACCAAUACUCAUUAUGGUGGCAGAUAUGAUCAAUACAGUAAUAGGCAAGGAAGCUAUGGUGGUAAUUAUGACAGCAGCUAUGGUGGAGGAAGAGACAAUUGGAGCAGUGGCAGAGGAGGGCGAUCUGCAGAGUAUUCGGCCAAAGAGCUGGAGAUGAUUCAAGACUUCCAGCACAGCAUGACAGUGUCAGGACAUUAUCAGCCAGAUUAUGACAACAGGGUUAGAAACUAAGGGAGGAGUGUUUCUUCAAAUACCAAAAACUUACAUUUUGAGAAAACGGCCGUUUUCUCAGACAUCGCCCAACGGGGGGAGCAGCACACAAGGUACAAGUCAUGUGAGGUAUGAGGGAGGCAGUGAUUACUCCAAUUUUGUUGGAACUUUGGAAUUUCAUCGUGGUGGCCGAGGGGGAGGCAGAAGAGGCCGAGGGAAUUACUAUUAACAAUGGGACAGCUGUUGGUCAAGACUUGGCUCUCAUCAUGGAGUGCUUAACAACUGUGUGCCACUUAACGUUUGCAAAAGUUAGACUUUUGUUAAACUGUGAUGCAAUAAUAAUCAAUAUAAACUUUUGCAGGAUAUAUAUAUAGUAUAUAUACUGGAAAGUUUGUAAUUCAUUGAAAUGAACAUUUGUAUUGUCAUGUAUUUUUUACAGUAGUUGAAGUUGAUGUUUGUGUAAAAGGCAAUGGGAAUUUGCAGUCUACAAGUUAAUUGUUUUAUCAGUUUUCUCUGAAGACUUUAGUAUAAUAAUAAGUUUUCUUUUGAUAUCUGUAAAAUAUUUUUACAUAGUGUAAUUAAAUGGGAUUCUAAAA